Molecule: ribosomal RNA, 459 nt
Filed under: uncultured bacterium
Lineage: Bacteria
Description: partial 16S ribosomal RNA
Rfam family: Bacterial small subunit ribosomal RNA
Source: RNAcentral
CCUACGGGAGGCAGCAGUGAGGAAUAUUGGUCAAUGGGCGGGAGCCUGAACCAGCCAAGCCGCGUGAGGGAAGAAGGUACAGCGUAUCGUAAACCUCUUUUGUCAGGGAACAAAGGCGGGGACUAGUCCCCGUAUGAGUGUACCUGAAGAAAAAGCAUCGGCUAACUCCGUGCCAGCAGCCGCGGUAAUACGGAGGAUGCGAGCGUUAUCCGGAUUUAUUGGGUUUAAAGGGUGCGCAGGGGGCCUGUUAAGUCAGCGGUAAAAGCCCGGGGCUAAACCCCGGCGAGCCGUUGAAACUGGCGGGCUGGAGUUGGAGAGAGGUACGCGGAAUGCGCGGUGUAGCGGUGAAAUGCUUAGAUAUCGCGCAGAACCCCGAUUGCGAAGGCAGCGUACCGGCUCCACACUGACGCUGAGGCACGAAAGCGUGGGUAUCGAACAGGAUUAGAUACCCGAGUAGUC